UACGGGGGGUGCGAGCGUUGUUCGGAAUUAUUGGGCGUAAAGAGCGUGUAGGCGGCCGAAUAAGUCAGAUGUGAAAUCCCUGGGCUUAACCCAGGACGUGCAUUUGAAACUAUUCGGCUGGAGUAGGGGAGAGGAAAGUGGAAUUCCUGGUGUAGAGGUGAAAUUCGUAGAUAUCAGGAGGAACACCGGUGGCGAAGGCGACUUUCUGGCCCUAUACUGACGCUGAGACGCGAGAGCGUGGGUAGCAAACAGGAUUAGAAACCCUAGUAGUCC
Molecule: ribosomal RNA, 273 nt
Filed under: uncultured prokaryote
Description: partial 16S ribosomal RNA
Rfam family: Bacterial small subunit ribosomal RNA
Source: RNAcentral